GAUUGAGAUGAUGAUGGAAAUUGUUUUCCCUAUUGGUUUGACUGCCGAUAUGAUGGCGACAAUGUAUUAGCUCUAUCUGAUGAAUUUCUUUUGAUUAAUUUGUUGAUUGUUUUGUUUGAAUUGAAAUCUGAAGAUUUUAUUCAUCGGUUUUGCGAAUGAUGUGAUGAUUAAUAGAUUCCCUAUUGGUUUGAUUUGCCAGAAUGAUGGCCAAAUUAGUAUUAGCUCUGUCUGAUCAUUC
This 238-nucleotide long non-coding RNA is filed under the name Helianthus annuus (common sunflower). Its description in RNAcentral is "hypothetical non coding rna". The stretch from base 154 to 238 matches the Rfam family "Small nucleolar RNA Z102/R77". Lineage: Eukaryota; Viridiplantae; Streptophyta; Magnoliopsida; Asterales; Asteraceae. The record is from RNAcentral.